Oncorhynchus tshawytscha (Chinook salmon) is the source of this 1537-nucleotide long non-coding RNA. Lineage: Eukaryota; Metazoa; Chordata; Actinopteri; Salmoniformes; Salmonidae. The record is from Ensembl.
AACCCUGCACCUAGCCUCAACCCUGCACCUUAACCCUGCACCUAGCCUCAACCCUGCACCUAGCCUCAACCCUGCACCUUAACCCUGCACCUAGCCUCAACCCUGCACCUAGCCUCAACCUAGGCCUGGUAACAGGUAACUCAUGACAAUAUCUGUGUGUAGGAUGGGUUGCAUUUAUGCAACAACAAACAAACAGUUUCAAAGUGCUUUGCUGAUGUUGUAUCAUGUCUGCGUUGUGGAGGUUGUAGUGAUGUCUGUGUUGUGGAGGUUGUAGUGAUGUUGUAUCAUGUCUGUGUUGUGGAGGUUGUAGUGAUGUUGUAUCAUGUCUGUGUUGUGGAGGUUGUAGUGAUGUUGUAUCAUGUCUGUGUUGUGGAGGUUGUAGUGAUGUUGUAUCAUGUCUGCGUUGUGGAGGUUGUAGUGAUGUUGUAUCAUGUCUGUGUUGUGGAGGUUGUAGUGAUGUUGUAUCAUGUCUGUGUUGUGGAGGUUGUAGUGAUGUUGUAUCAUGUCUGUGUUGUGGAGGUUGUAGUGAUGUUGUAUCAUGUCUGUGUUGUGGAGGUUGUAGUGAUGUUGUAUCAUGUAUGUGUUGUGGAGGUUGUAGUGAUGUUGUAUCAUGUCUGUGUUGUGGAGGUUGUAGUGAUGUUGUAUCAUGUCUGUGUUGUGGAGGUUGUAGUGAGGUUGUGAUGUUGUAUCAUGUCUGUUGUGAAGGUUGUAAUGAUGUUGUAUCAUGUCUGUGUUGUGGAGGUUGUAGUGAUGUUGUGGAGGUUGUAGUGAUGUUGUAUCAUGUCUGUUGUGGAGGUUGUAGUGAGGUUGUAGUGAUGUUGUAUCAUGUCUGUGUUGUGGAGGUUGUAGUGAUGUUGUAUCAUGUCUGUGUUGUGGAGGUUGUAGUGAUGUUGAAGUGAUGUUGUAUCAUGUCUGUGUUGUGGAGGUUGUAGUGAUGUUGUAUCAUGUCUGUGUUGUGGAGGUUGUAGUGAUGUUGUAUCAUGUCUGUUGUGGAGGUUGUAGUGAUGUUGUAUCAUGUCUGUGUUGUGGAGGUUGUAGUGAUGUUGUAUCAUGUCUGUGUUAUUUAGGUUGGGGGUGUUGUUCACUCCUCUGCUUCCUGCUGUACAGAUCAUCAAACUACUGCUUCUCUUCUACAUGAAGCAGGAAGCAGGUAGGUUCUCUGCUCUGAUCACUGUGCCAUGAUCAUACUGGUAACUUCUCUUCUACAUGAAGCAGGUAGGUACACCUCUGUUCUGAUCACUGUGCCAUGAUCAUACUGGUAACUUCUCUUCUACAUGAAGCAGGUAGGUACACCUCUGUUCUGAUCACUGUGCCAUGAUCAUACUGGUAACUUCUCUUCUACAGGAAGCAGGUAGGUACACCUCUGUUCUGAUCACUGUGCCAUGAUCAUACUGGUAACUUCUAUUCUACAUGAAGCAGGUAGGUACACCUCUGUUCUGAUCACUGUGCCAUGAUCAUACUGGUAACUUCUCUUCUACAGGAAGCAGGUAGGUUCUCUGCUCUGAUCACUGUGCCAUGAUCAUACUGCUAACUGGAC